This 141-nucleotide small RNA is filed under the name Candidatus Handelsmaniibacteriota. RNAcentral describes it as "Candidatus Handelsmanbacteria c-di-AMP sequence". It matches the Rfam family "c-di-AMP riboswitch aptamer (ydaO/yuaA leader)". Rfam says of the family: This family represents a conserved RNA structure found upstream of the ydaO and yuaA genes in Bacillus subtilis and related genes in other bacteria. The record is from RNAcentral.
GCUUCGACAUCGCCGAGUCCUCCGGGCCGCCGGAGGAGCGGGAGACCCAGGUUGUUGGGGCGAAUCGCUCAUGAGAGCGCAGGGAGACUUGUCCUCACCCGAGCCCGUCAGCUAAUCCCGCAGGCGUCAGACAAGCGAGUG